GAUGAACGCUGGCGGCGUGCUUAAUACAUGCAAGUCGAACGAAGAGCCUUUGUAGCAAUACGAAGGUUUCUUAGUGGCGAACGGGUGCGUAACGCGUUGGUGACCUGCCCCAAAGUGUGGGAUAACAGUUCGAAAGGACUGCUAAUACCGCAUGUGGUCCUUCAGAUUAGAUGCUGAAGGUCUAAAGCAGUAAUGCGCUUUGGGAGGGACCUGCGUCCCAUCAGCUAGUUGGUAGGGUAAUGGCCUACCAAGGCUAAGACGGGUAGGGGACCUAAGAGGGUGACCCCCCA
Molecule: ribosomal RNA, 290 nt
Filed under: uncultured Chloroflexota bacterium
Lineage: Bacteria; Bacillati; Chloroflexota
Description: uncultured Chloroflexi bacterium partial 16S ribosomal RNA
Rfam family: Bacterial small subunit ribosomal RNA
Source: RNAcentral